This 72-nucleotide transfer RNA is filed under the name Anaerolineae bacterium. Its description in RNAcentral is "tRNA-Lys". It matches the Rfam family "tRNA". From Rfam's summary of the family: Transfer RNA (tRNA) molecules are approximately 80 nucleotides in length. Their secondary structure includes four short double-helical elements and three loops (D, anti-codon, and T loops). Lineage: Bacteria; Bacillati; Chloroflexota; Anaerolineae. The record is from RNAcentral.
GGAUCUGUAGCGCAAUGGUAGCGCAGUUGACUUUUAAUCAAUUGGUUCUGGGUUCGAGUCCCAGCAGGUCCA